This 30-nucleotide non-coding RNA is filed under the name Homo sapiens (human). Lineage: Eukaryota; Metazoa; Chordata; Mammalia; Primates; Hominidae. The record is from RNAcentral.
UGGGGCUCACUUGCAUUAAGAUAAGUUGCA